RNAcentral lists this long non-coding RNA (445 nucleotides) under Sorghum bicolor (sorghum). Its description in RNAcentral is "long non-coding RNA (SBIC_LNC015428)". The record is from RNAcentral. Lineage: Eukaryota; Viridiplantae; Streptophyta; Magnoliopsida; Poales; Poaceae.
CCAAACCAGUGAAGGAGCCCAGACAAGGGCAAAUUAAACCCAACUACUAUUUAUUUUGUACUAUACAAUGUGCCUUCUUGUGGAUUUCCAUGCUUUCUUGGAUCCUUCUGCGCUUGGCUCCUGUUGGCAUGAGUAUUCUCAAAAAUCCUAUAGUUUUGCUCUUUCCAAAGGUUCCACACUAUAUAGAUAGCUAGGACAUUGAAAGCUUGCUUGAGGAUCAAGCGGAGGGAGUGCUCCCACCAGUCUGCUAGAAUGUUGAAGUUUGUGUGUUGUGCCACAUCAAAUCUGGAAAGUGCUACCAAGAGGUAACAAGACUCUAGACCGCUUGGGUAAAGGGGCAAGCCAAGCAUAAGUUAGCUAGUCUCCAGCGGGCCAUUGCACACUCAAUUUUGAAUUUUGAAAGAAUUCAAAGCCACGCACCGUUUUUCGGAACACUAGAGGGUCU